AGCAGCACGCAGCUAAAAGGAAGACUCACAGAAGACAGUUGAAGAAGGAAAGUGGCGAUGGACCUCAUCCCAAAUUUGGCGGUGGAAACCUGGCUUCUCCUGGCUGUCAGCCUGGUGCUCCUCUAUCUAUAUGGGACCCGUACACAUGGACUUUUUAAGAGACUGGGAAUUCCAGGGCCCACACCUCUGCCUUUGUUGGGAAAUGUUUUGUCCUAUCGUCAGGGUCUCUGGAAAUUUGACACAGAAUGUUAUAAAAAGUAUGGAAAAAUGUGGGGAACGUAUGAUGGUCAACUCCCUGUGCUGGCCAUCACAGAUCCCGACAUGAUCAAAACAGUGCUAGUGAAAGAAUGUUAUUCUGUCUUCACAAAUCGAAGGUCUUUAGGCCCAGUGGGAUUUAUGAAAAGUGCCAUCUCUUUAGCUGAGGAUGAAGAAUGGAAGAGAAUACGGUCAUUGCUGUCUCCAACCUUCACCAGCGGAAAACUCAAGGAGAAAAGACAUCACAAAAUUCAUUACAAAAAUGUCACUUACUGCUCCAUGCUGGAGAAAGCCAUGUCCUUUGGGACUUGAGUCUGCACAUUUAACUA
RNAcentral lists this small RNA (584 nucleotides) under Pongo abelii (Sumatran orangutan). Its description in RNAcentral is "processed transcript". The record is from RNAcentral. Lineage: Eukaryota; Metazoa; Chordata; Mammalia; Primates; Hominidae.